GAGUUUGAUCUUGGCUCAGAGCGAACGCUGGCGGCAGGCCUAACACAUGCAAGUCGAACGAACUCUUCGGAGUUAGUGGCGGACGGGUGAGUAACACGUGGGAACGUGCCUUUUGGUUCGGAAUAACUCAGGGAAACUUGUGCUAAUACCGAAUGUGCCCUUCGGGGAAGAUUUAUCGCCAUUAGAGCGGCCCGCGUCUGAUUAGCUAGUUGGUGAGGUAAAGGCUCACCAAGGCGACGAUCAGUAGCUGGUCUGAGAGGAUGAUCAGCCACAUUGGGACUGAGACACGGCCCAAACUCCUACGGGAGGCAGCAGUGGGGAAUCUUGCGCAAUGGGCGAAAGCCUGACGCAGCCAUGCCGCGUGAAUGAUGAAGGUCUUAGGAUUGUAAAAAUUCUUUCACCGGGGACGAUAAUGACGGUACCCGGAGAAGAAGCCCCGGCUAACUUCGUGCCAGCCGCCGCAGUAAU
RNAcentral lists this ribosomal RNA (468 nucleotides) under uncultured microorganism. RNAcentral's name for it is "bacterial SSU rRNA". It matches the Rfam family "Bacterial small subunit ribosomal RNA", at positions 9 to 524 of the family's 1533-position model. The record is from RNAcentral.